UACGGAGGGUGCAAGCGUUGUCCGGAAUCAUUGGGCGUAAAGCGCGUGUAGGCGGUCCGGUAAGUCCGCUGUGAAAGUCGGGGGCUCAACCCUCGAAUGCCGGUGGAUACUGUCGGGCUAGAGUGCGGAAGAGGCGAGUGGAAUUCCUGGUGUAGCGGUGAAAUGCGCAGAUAUCAGGAGGAACACCAAUUGCGAAGGCAGCUCGCUGGGACGUUACUGACGCUGAGACGCGAAAGCGUGGGGAGCAAACAGG
This 253-nucleotide ribosomal RNA is filed under the name uncultured bacterium. RNAcentral describes it as "partial 16S ribosomal RNA". It matches the Rfam family "Bacterial small subunit ribosomal RNA", at positions 524 to 776 of the family's 1533-position model. The record is from RNAcentral.